CCCGCACAAGCAGCGGAGCGUGUGGUUUAAUUCGAUGUUACACGAAGAACCUUACCAGGGUUUGACAUGCAAGUGGUAGGAAGCCGAAAGGUGACCGACCCUUCGGGGAGCUUGCACAGGUGCUGCAUGGCUGUCGUCAGCUCGUGUCGUGAGAUGUUCGGUUAAAUCCGCUAACGAGCGCAACCCUCGCUGUGUGUUAUAUGUGUCACACGGGACUGCCGGUCUUAAGCCGGAGGAAGGUGGGGAUGAUGUCAAGUCAGCAUGGCCUUUAUAUCCUGGGCUACACACACGCUACAAUGGCCAACACAAUAGGUUGCUAAGCCGCGAGGUGGCGCCAAUCCAUAAAGUUGGUCUCAGUUCAGAUUGUAGGCUGCAACCCGCCUGCAUGAAGAUGGAGUUGCUAGUAACCGCAGGUCAGCUAUACUGCGGUGAAUACGUUCCCGGGGCUU
RNAcentral lists this ribosomal RNA (449 nucleotides) under uncultured Leptolinea sp. RNAcentral describes it as "bacterial SSU rRNA". It matches the Rfam family "Bacterial small subunit ribosomal RNA", at positions 920 to 1382 of the family's 1533-position model. The record is from RNAcentral. Lineage: Bacteria; Bacillati; Chloroflexota; Anaerolineae; Anaerolineales; Anaerolineaceae.